Molecule: ribosomal RNA, 501 nt
Filed under: uncultured bacterium
Lineage: Bacteria
Description: partial 16S ribosomal RNA
Rfam family: Bacterial small subunit ribosomal RNA
Source: RNAcentral
GAUUAACGCUAGCGGCAGGCCUAAUACAUGCAAGUCGAACGGCAGCACGGAUAGCAAUAUCUGGUGGCGAGUGGCGCACGGGUGCUUAACACGUAUGCAAUCUACGCUUAACUGGGGGAUAGCCCCGAGAAAUCGGGAUUAAUACCCCAUAACAUUGAGAUGAGGCAUCUCCUUGCAAUUAAAGCUCCGGCGGAUUUGGAUGAGCAUUCGCGACAUUAGUUAGUUGGUGAGGUAACGGCUCACCGAGACUUCGAUGUCGAGGGGUUCUGAGAGGAUUCACCCCCACACUGGUACUGAGACACGGACCAGACUCCGACGGGAGGCAGCAGUAAGGAAUAUUGGUCAAUGGGCGCAAGCCUGAACCAGCCAUGCCGCGUGAAGGAUGACGGCCCUACGGGUUGUAAACUUCUUUUGUACGGGAAAAAACCACCGGUCGUGAACCGGUGCUGAUGGUACCGUAAGAAUAAGCAUCGGCUAACUCCGUGCCAGCAGCCGCAGUAA